AUGAACGCUGGCGGCGUGCCUAAUCCAUGCCAGUCGAGCGAACAGACGAGGAGCUUGCUCCUCUGACGUUAGCGGCGGACGGGUUAGUACCACGUGGAUAACCUACCUAUAAGCCUGGGAUAACUUCGGGAAACCGGAGCUAAUACCGGAUAAUAUAUUGAACCGUCUGGUUUAUUUGUGAAAGACGGUUUUGCUGUCACUUAUAGAUGGAUCCGCGCCGCAUUAGCUAGUUGGUAAGGUAACGGUUUACCAAGGCAACGAUGCGUAGUCGACCUGAGAGGGUGAUCGGCCACACUGGAACUGAGACACGGUCCAGACUCCUACGGGAGGCAGCAGUAGGGAAUCUUCCGCAAUGGGCGAAAGCCUGACGGAGCAACGCCGCGUGAGUGAUGAAGGUCUUCGGAUCGUAAAACUCUGUUAUUAGGGAAGAACAAAUGUGUAAGUAACUAUGCACGUCUUGACGGUACCUAAUCAGAAAGCCACGGCUAACUACGUG
RNAcentral lists this ribosomal RNA (496 nucleotides) under uncultured bacterium. RNAcentral's name for it is "partial 16S ribosomal RNA". It matches the Rfam family "Bacterial small subunit ribosomal RNA", at positions 29 to 507 of the family's 1533-position model. The record is from RNAcentral.